Molecule: long non-coding RNA, 1513 nt
Organism: Asparagus officinalis (garden asparagus)
Lineage: Eukaryota; Viridiplantae; Streptophyta; Magnoliopsida; Asparagales; Asparagaceae
Exons: 5
Source: RefSeq, a predicted model, not a curated record
UUAUAACAUUUAUGAAGUAUAUAUUUCUUUGUCUAUGCAGAUAUAUCUUGCAGAAUUUGCAAAUAUAGCGGCGGUGUAUCUUAGUAUUCUCUCUUGGGGAGAAGAAUAGAUUUUCUUUUGAUGUUUUUAUAUAUCUAUUUCUUGCUUUUAUAACAUUUAUAAAGUAUAUAUUUCUUUGUCUAUGCAGAUGUAGCAUGCAGAAUUUGCAAAUAUAGUGGCAGCAUGCACAUCAAUUUUAAGUGUUUUUUGGUUUGGCGGUCUUGCUGUGCAGAUUGUACAAAGACACCACUUUGCCUCACACCUGAAGAGAAUGGCUGUUGUCGUUCGUGUUGAAGAAGAAUUAUUGGCUUUUGUAAAGGGUGCACCGGAAACUAUUUAAGAGAGGCUAGUUGAUUUACCAUCAACGUAUGUGGAAACAUACAAGAAAUACACACGACAAGGUUCUCGGGUUUUGGCUCUUGCAUACAAGAAACUUCCGAAAAUGUUUUAUGAUGCCUCCACAAUGUGGGAGAAGAGAACUUUGGCGUUCGACAGAUAUCUGAUCUCCGAGCCAGCAAGUGCAUAUUUCCCCUGUACAUUGCACAUGAUAUCAAGGAGGCCCAUUUUUUUCUGUUAAUUUACCCCCACUCCACCAAACCCAAAAAAAAAACAGAUCCUGUGGGGUCCAUUUCAUAUGUUUGAUUAUUAUUGUAUCUACACAUCUGAGAGAGUGGAUUAUGAAUAAUUUGUAGACAAUGGAUCCAAGUCUCAAGAUUCUUGUAUUUGAAAUUUAAGGCAAUGUGUAACUGUCACACAGUGUUAAUUUCAAGCUAAUGUCUAGAUUGGGUUUUUAAUUUAUAAUUGUCCAGUUAUCAUUUAAUUUCUAAGAGGUAAUUGGUAGUCGGUGUUAGAUUUUUGCUAUAUUCUUUUACUGCUUGAAAUAUAACCGAUAAUUGGCAUAUAUUAUCCUUUGAGGUCCAUUGCAUAUGUUUGAUUUUAUUGUAUCUACACAUCUGUGAGAGUGGAUUAUGAAUAAUUUGUAGACAAAAUGGAUCCAAGUCUCAAGAUUCUUGUAUUUGAAAUUUAAGGCAAUGCGUAACGGUGUUAAUUCAAGCUAAUGUCUAGAUCGGGUUUUUAAUUUUUAAUUGUCCAGUUAUCAUUUAAUUUCUAAGAGGUAAUUGGUAGUCGGUGUUAGAUUUUUGCUAUAUUCUUUUACUGCUUGAAAUAUAACCGGUAAUUAGCAUAUAUUAUGUGAAAAUUUCAUACACAAUAAAUAUUUGAUGCACUAGGCAUGUUUCACAUUUAUGAAAAUUGUGAUUAAAUUUAAACAAGUAAAUAAAAUUUCUUUAUACCAAACUAUAUAUGUGUACGUAUGCAUGAAAUAAUAUAAUGUUGAUGUUAACAAUUCAUGUUGAGAAUAGAAUUCAUAAGGAUGAAUUACAUGAAGAGCAUCACAAUUGGAAUGAUGAACGGUUGGAGAAGCAUCAUCAAGAAAAUUUGUGCCUGGUUUAAAAAUUAUGUCCAAGAUCCAAAC